This 158-nucleotide unclassified non-coding RNA is filed under the name uncultured Chaetothyriales. Its description in RNAcentral is "sequence contains ITS2". Lineage: Eukaryota; Fungi; Ascomycota; Eurotiomycetes; Chaetothyriales. The record is from RNAcentral.
UCACAAUAUCAAGCUUGGCUUGUUGUUGGGCCCUUUGUCACCUGGUGACAGGUCCAAAAGAUAAUAACCGGUGUCAUACAGACUCUAUAUGCAACGAGCUUAUAACAGCAUGCAUCUGGUGGUCGUGUGGCCCGGUUUUUACCCCCUUUCUUUCUCAA